RNAcentral lists this ribosomal RNA (253 nucleotides) under uncultured bacterium. RNAcentral's name for it is "partial 16S ribosomal RNA". It matches the Rfam family "Bacterial small subunit ribosomal RNA", at positions 524 to 776 of the family's 1533-position model. The record is from RNAcentral.
UACGUAGGUGGCAAGCGUUAUCCGGAUUUACUGGGUGUAAAGGGAGCGUAGACGGCGAUGCAAGUCUGAGGUGAAAGCCCGGGGCUCAACCCCGGGACUGCUUUGGAAACUGUAUGGCUGGAGUGCUGGAGAGGCAAGCGGAAUUCCUAGUGUAGCGGUGAAAUGCGUAGAUAUUAGGAAGAACACCAGUGGCGAAGGCGGCUUGCUGGACAGUAACUGACGUUGAGGCUCGAAAGCGUGGGGAGCAAACAGG